Molecule: ribosomal RNA, 252 nt
Filed under: uncultured bacterium
Lineage: Bacteria
Description: partial 16S ribosomal RNA
Rfam family: Bacterial small subunit ribosomal RNA
Source: RNAcentral
CGAAGGGCAAGCGUUGUUCGGAAUUACUGGGCGUAAAGGGUGCGUAGGCGGUUUGCCAAGUCAGAUGUGAAAGCCCAGGGCUUAACCCUGGAACUGCAUUUGAAACUGGCGAACUAGAAUAUUGGAGAGGUAAGUGGAAUUCCCAGUGUAGAGGUGAAAUUCGUAGAUAUUGGGAAGAACAUCGAUGGCGAAGGCAGCUUACUGGACAAUUAUUGACGCUGAGGCACGAAAGCGUGGGGAGCAAACAGGAUU